AUUGAACGCUGGCGGCAUGCCUUACACAUGCAAGUCGAACGGUAACGGGCCUUCGGGUGCCGACGAGUGGCGAACGGGUGAGUAAUACAUCGGAACGUGCCCGAUCGUGGGGGAUAACGAGGCGAAAGCUUUGCUAAUACCGCAUACGAUCUACGGAUGAAAGCAGGGGACCGCAAGGCCUUGCGCGGACGGAGCGGCCGAUGGCAGAUUAGGUAGUUGGUGGGAUAAAAGCUUACCAAGCCGACGAUCUGUAGCUGGUCUGAGAGGAUGAUCAGCCACACUGGGACUGAGACACGGCCCAGACUCCUACGGGAGGCAGCAGUGGGGAAUUUUGGACAAUGGGCGCAAGCCUGAUCCAGCCAUGCCGCGUGGAGGAUGAAGGCCUUCGGGUUGUAAACUGCUUUUGUACGGAACGAAAAGCCUUCUUUUAAUACAGGAGGGUCAUGACGGUACCGUAAGAAUAAGCACCGGCUAACUACGUG
RNAcentral lists this ribosomal RNA (482 nucleotides) under uncultured bacterium. RNAcentral's name for it is "partial 16S ribosomal RNA". It matches the Rfam family "Bacterial small subunit ribosomal RNA", at positions 30 to 507 of the family's 1533-position model. The record is from RNAcentral.